GAUGAACGCUGGCGGCGUGCCUAAUACAUGCAAGUCGAGCGAACGGACGAGAAGCUUGCUUCUCUGCUGUUAGCGGCGGACGGGUGAGUAACACGUGGAUAACCUACCUAUAAGACUGGGAUAACUUCGGGAAACCGUAGCUAAUACUGGAUAAUAUUUUGAACCGCAUGGUUCAAAAGUGAAAGACGGCCUUGCUGUCACUUAUAGAUGGAUCCGCGCUGCAUUAGCUAGUUGGUAAGGUAACGGCUUACCAAGGCAACGAUGCAUAGCCGACCUGAGAGGGUGAUCGGCCACACUGGAACUGGGACACGGUCCAGACUCCUACGGGAGGCAGCAGUAGGGAAUCUUCCGCAAUGGGCGAAAGCCUGACGGAGCAACGCCGCGUGAGUGAUGAAGGUCUUCGGAUCGUAAAACUCUGUUAUUAGGGAAGAACAUAUGUGUAAGUAACUGUGCACAUCUUGACGGUACCUAAUCAGAAAGCCACGGCUAACUACGUG
Molecule: ribosomal RNA, 497 nt
Filed under: uncultured bacterium
Lineage: Bacteria
Description: partial 16S ribosomal RNA
Rfam family: Bacterial small subunit ribosomal RNA
Source: RNAcentral